GAAAGCGGUGCUAAUACCGGAUAAGACCACAGCCGUUUCGGCGGCAGAGGUAAAAGCUGACCUCUCCAUGGAAGUUAGCGUUCGAGGACGGGCCCGCGUCCUAUCAGCUUGUUGGUGGGGUAAAAGCCUACCAAGGCAGCGACGGGUAGCUGGUCUGAGAGGAUGAUCAGCCACACUGGAACUGGAACACGGUCCAGACUCCUACGGGAGGCAGCAGUGAGGAAUUUUGCGCAAUGGGGGAAACCCUGACGCAGCAACGCCGCGUGGGUGAAGAAGGCUUUCGGGUNGUAAAGCCCUGUCAGGUGGGAAGAACCGUUUCGAUACUAAUAAUGUCGAAGCCUGACGGUACCACCAGAGGAAGCACCGGCCAACUCCGUGCCAGCAGCCGCGGUAAUACGGAGGGUGCAAGCGUUGUUCGGAAUUAUUGGGCGUAAAGAGCGUGUAGGCGGUUCGGUAAGUCAGAUGUGAAAGCCCUGGGCUCAACCCAGGAAGUGCAUUUUGAAACUACCAGACUUGAGUACGGGAGAGGA
RNAcentral lists this ribosomal RNA (530 nucleotides) under uncultured bacterium. RNAcentral describes it as "bacterial SSU rRNA". It matches the Rfam family "Bacterial small subunit ribosomal RNA", at positions 153 to 658 of the family's 1533-position model. The record is from RNAcentral.